RNAcentral lists this ribosomal RNA (485 nucleotides) under uncultured bacterium. RNAcentral's name for it is "bacterial SSU rRNA". It matches the Rfam family "Bacterial small subunit ribosomal RNA", at positions 30 to 511 of the family's 1533-position model. The record is from RNAcentral.
AUUGAACGCUGGCGGAAUGCUUUACACAUGCAAGUCGAGCGGCAGCGCGGGGCAACCUGGCGGCGAGCGGCGAACGGGUGAGUAAUACAUCGGAACGUGCCCAGACGUGGGGGAUAACUACUCGAAAGAGUGGCUAAUACCGCAUACGAUCUACGGAUGAAAGCGGGGGAUCGCAAGACCUCGCGCGUCUGGAGCGGCUGAUGGCAGAUUAGGUAGUUGGUGGGAUAAAAGCCUACCAAGCCAACGAUCUGUAGCUGGUCUGAGAGGAUGAUCAGCCACACUGGGACUGAGACACGGCCCAGACUCCUACGGGAGGCAGCAGUGGGGAAUUUUGGACAAUGGGCGAAAGCCUGAUCCAGCCAUUCCGCGUGCAGGAUGAAGGCCCUCGGGUUGUAAACUGCUUUUGUACAGACGAAAAGACUCUGGUUAAUACCUAGAGUCCAUGACGGUACUGUAAGAAUAAGCACCGGCUAACUACGUGCCAG